This 82-nucleotide ribosomal RNA is filed under the name Basidiobolus meristosporus CBS 931.73. Lineage: Eukaryota; Fungi; Basidiobolomycota; Basidiobolomycetes; Basidiobolales; Basidiobolaceae. The record is from RNAcentral.
AGCAUCGGCCAUACAUACCAGAAAAUACCGGAUCCCGUCCGAUCUCCGAAGUCAAACUGGUAAUGGCCUAGUCAGUACUACG